Bombus pascuorum is the source of this 3586-nucleotide long non-coding RNA. RefSeq lists it as uncharacterized. The record is from RefSeq and is a predicted model, not a curated record. The transcript has 3 exons. NCBI's taxonomy places the organism in Eukaryota, Metazoa, Arthropoda, Insecta, Hymenoptera, Apidae.
CUAAACGUUUCCAAGCUUGCUUGCCACAUCAGCAAACGACGCCAUUGCAUCAUCUAAAGAUAUUUCCCGCAUACGGCCAAAAGGUGUAUCUACAUAUUUAUUGAGAUUUAAAGGAUUAUAAAUUCGUUUAGUUAUUCUCGUAACCUAGAAGGAAUUAUGCUCUGAUGAAUUUCUAGAAGUUUCGAAACAUUCCAAUAUGUCGAGAAUGGGUGAUAAAUCAAUAGAAACCGUUAACAUCAUAUCGAAGCAACUAUGAAAACAUUCAUCGCAUGUAGAUGUAUAUACAUUACGGUUUACUGACGACAAAUGUGAUGUGACCAGUCACAAGUCAGUUGUGUUGUCAACAAAGAAACAAGGAACACAAGUAGUUUAUUCUUUCGUUCCGGUCAAUAAACAAUCUUUGAUUUGUGGAAGUUAAAAUUUUCGAGAGUGGCCGCAAUGAAGGUUCGUUUACUCCAAUACCAAUGAAACAAAUAAUUCCCAACAAAUUUGUCAGACGGCACAGAAGCAGCAUCGACUAUGUGAAACGAAUAUGAAAACUGAUUUGCAUCUUCUAUUGUUUUGUUGCACGUGCGCAAGAGUAAUCGAGCAGGAAGUGUACAUCGAUCGUAUUCUUGACCUGUAUUAUCUUACAAAUCCAAUUUAUUUCGGCAACUGCAUGAAAUUAUUCAUGUAGUUGUUAUGUAAAAACAUAUAUAAUAAGAAGAUAGUUUAUCAUUCAAUUGAUGAAUAAAAUACGAACAUAUAUAUAUAUAUUUUUUUUCAUACAGUCAAAAGAUCAUGAAAGUAUUAUUUCUUUUCUAUACUUAUGGACGUAGAUUGGGCACACGAUUCAGUACGUCUCGGGCUAUAGACGAUGUACUUAAACCGUAAACGAUAGAGGACAGAUACUGAAUAAGUGUCGAAGAAGAAAUAGAAAAGAAGAGGCGUAAAAAAUAUUUCUGGUCAAGGAACUUUUACUAUUUCUUUCUUUUCUGUGACAUAUGUAUUGCGAAGCGAUGGGUAUGUCCACGCGUUCUCAAUUGCUUACAUCGUUGCCACGUCCACAUUACAAUAUGAGCCCAAAUUGCAAAAUUGAAAACUAGAUAUGUAUUUAAAAUAGCUUUUGUUACCAAUUUUACUAUUUUAAAUGUAUUUAAUCUAUGUGAAUUAAAAUAUGCUAUUAGUAUAGUUGAGUAAGUUGGUAAAAAAUGUAAAUGAUUUUAUUUUAUAAUUUUUAUUUUAAACCUGAAGAGUUGUUACAGGUAGAGAUAUCACUGUUUACGCUUAAACGUACCGAGGAAUCAUAUAACAGGCUCAAGUUUAUGCAGCUAUACAUAUAUGCCAAUGAAUAACCUUGGAGCUUCAAUCAACUUGCUUACUGCUACAAAGCAAGAAAUUCAAUAAUUUUCAAAAACGAAUACCAUCGACUAAAAACCGCCAAGUUUUGAUAACGCGAUAGCAUAAUUUAUAUAAUAUUCAAAACUCGCACCAUGAAUACAUAUGAAUCAUGUAUUUUAGAUAAUAAUGAUGUAUAUGACGCGUAACCGUAUAUAGAUAGGAAAACAUUCACUAUUCUGCGCCAUGAGCGAUCAGUUCAAAUCUACGGAAACUCGUGGGUGGAUGGUUAUAUACGCUAAACAGAUUGCCGGUUUAUUUAAACGACGGUGUGUAACGAAAUACGAUGAUGUGCUUGGGAUGAUUCCAAUUUAGCAACCUAGUUUUUUCCCUCGUGUAUCCAAGUGGCGCGCUUUUUUUUUGAGAAAUAAACUGGGUCACACGAUGGCAGCGAAGUGUGCGUAUACACGUGUCCACCGACUAAAAGAGUCGGACGAGUGGACAAGCACGAAAGCAACGUGCUAGAAUAUAAGUUGCAAAGGUGGCGGAUGUAGACGCAUACAAGCAGUGGUAGAGAGGUAUAACGACCUUUGCGGCUCACAGUGAACGUGCGGAAAUCAUUUGUAUAAAAUUUCUAAUCGCAAAGUUCGCGCUAUUGUUAGUCGGUACGCGACGCACGAUCAGGAAAUAAAAUGGCAACAGGAGGAGCGUGAGAACUCACGUAGAGAGAAACGAUUUGUAGGUGGAAAGAACUCCCACAACGUUUCAGCAAUUACAUAUCUCGGAUAAGUUGCAUAGUUGCAUGCAUGUUUCAUGUUGUUUAAUAACAAAGAAUAACGAGUGUUUUAUAAGUCUAUUUCUUAUUUUAUUACUUUUUUAAUUAUUCUGGAAUUAUUUUUAAAGUCUUCUGUGUCCUACACCGAUUAUUAUUAUCGGCACAAUCAAACCGGAAACUCGACUAACGAUUAAUUUCACCGAACUGCUGAUACGACACUAGCAAGAACGAGCAUGUCGAGGCUAGAGGACCAUAAAAGCAAAGUGGAAGAAGGGUACGUUUAGUAAGGGAGUAAUUAGCGAGUCCCUAGGCAGGUACUCGUGCAAUUUACUGUGGAAAUUCUACGGCUUGUUAAAUGAUGUAGUAGACAGGCUUCAGGAUAUUUUUGUAAAUAUUUCAAGAGUAACAGAAAACUCGUAGAAACAUGAUAUGAUUUAUGACUCUUAAUUUAGAAACUUUUAAGUUAUUAUUCAAGGACCCCAGCUGUCAUAGAUUAAGAGACAAUUUUGAGGAGAAAGUUACUUAAGUUUUUAUAAAAUUCUAUGUUAUUAAGAUAGACAUUACGAAGAUAAGAUAACAUUCAAAAUGUCGCGAAGAUAUCACAAACAAUAGUAUCUUUUUUAGAUAGAAACGAUACGCAUCCCGAUAGCUCGUGACCCAUAGUACGGACGAAACGGACGAAUAAAGAGAACUUGAACGACAUAGCUGUUCAUUCAGACUAUAUGUAUCUUGGGAUACGUUGUACUUCGUAUUCGUACGUCCCUGAUCGUUCCGAUCUAUAUCUACCAAUCCUAAAAAUAUUUAUAAACGGUAAAAUAUAAUACGAGCAAUAAGGUACUGUUAUUGAGUGCCGAACGACUGUCCAUUUUAGUACAUUUAUUUGACUUUCCAAUUAUGCAUAUAUUUGCAGUCAGAUGAAUAAUUCACCUUUUAAAAAUAUCAAAAUCGCGGUAGACUGGUAAAGGCCAAGGGAAGAAAGGCAACGAAGGACAGAAACGACUAAAGGAAGCUUCGGAACGAGCCUGCGCCGUCUAACCGACACGUAUAAAUAAAGAGUUGGAUACCUGCGAUGUUGCCAGAUCUCAGUAAUAUUGAUCCACGAACCCGACACAGCCGUCAGCCGGGGGUCAUACAGAGACACGUGGCAACAUUGGCCUGUUCCCAGCUGAUCGAGCUCUACUCACGUCUGCUCGACGGUCGACCGUGUCUCUCCGUUCCUUGGAGUUCUCUCGCUUCCGCACGAGACCUCCCUCUUUCUCUCAUAACUAGCAACCGGCCACUUAUCGCCUUGCCUCAAAUCACAAGCCUUUCCUUUCUUACAUCGCUGCACUCAACCAUUCCACUUUAACUCGAAUAUGAAGCGAAUGCUUCCUUCCACUUGUUAACUAUACACGGUUGCGAGCGAUAUUAUGCAAUAAAGAAAAGCGUUACGCGCCAAACGGACAAGUACACGUCGUGUUUGUUCGCAAGAAUAAAACAUAGGAGAACCUCUAA